This 276-nucleotide ribosomal RNA is filed under the name uncultured prokaryote. RNAcentral describes it as "partial 16S ribosomal RNA". It matches the Rfam family "Bacterial small subunit ribosomal RNA", at positions 524 to 801 of the family's 1533-position model. The record is from RNAcentral.
UACGUAGGGGCUAGCGUUAUCUGGAAUUACUGGGCGUAAAGGGUGCGUAGGUGGUUUCUUAAGUCAGAGGUGAAAGGCUAUGGCUCAACCGUAGUAAGCCUUUGAAACUGGGAAACUUGAGUGCAGGAGAGGAGAGUGGAAUUCCUAGUGUAGCGGUGAAAUGCGUAGAUAUUAGGAGGAACACCAGUUGCGAAGGCGGCUCUCUGGACUGUAACUGACACUGAGGCACGAAAGCGUGGGGAGCAAACAGGAUUAGAUACCCCGGUAGUCCCUGAG